Molecule: long non-coding RNA, 590 nt
Filed under: Rattus norvegicus (Norway rat)
Lineage: Eukaryota; Metazoa; Chordata; Mammalia; Rodentia; Muridae
Description: long non-coding RNA NONRATT029940
Source: RNAcentral
CUGAUGUUCCCUGGGAACUAAGUCGUGCUGACACACACCUGAGAUGACUGAGGAUCAAGAUCACCUCAAGAGCUCUUUGUGAUUAUAAAAUGGUGGCGAGAAAGCUCCGUGGGGGGUGGGUGGCUGAAGAUGUCUGCCCCAUGUUGAGCUGGGCUGAAUUCCAGGCUCGAUCCUAGUGUUGUGCAAUUCCAUAUUGGAGCAUGAGACAAGACCAAGAGAUCAGGAAGACUGACCCCGUCCUUUACUUAAGAUUGAGGUAAACUGACUUCAGGAAAAGCUGCAGCUGCCCACAGAGCCGCUGUGAUGUGCUGGCUGCUUUUCUCUGCAGACAUCCUGCCAGACCCAAGAGAAAAAUACUUCCGGAAUUCUGGAAGGCUCUCAGCCUCACUCUCCUUGGUCUGAAACCAGCCCAGGAGAUGUAACAGCAUCAAUUGGAUUGAUCAGCUCAAGCCUGAGCCAUCGACUCCCAUCUCAGGCUACACCGUGUAUUAAGAGUGUGGCCUCACUAGAUUCUUACGGAAUCCAGGCUCUCAACUUAGUUUCCAGUUCUGCUCAAAGCAUGGUCCCCUUUGCCCAGCGGUGCCUAAGAG